UUUUAGUGGCGGACGGGUGAGGAACGCGUAAGAACCUACCCUUAGGAGAGGGACAACAACUGGAAACGGUUGCUAAUACCUCAUAUGCUGAGGAGUAAAAGGGUCGAAAGAUUUCGCCUAGGGAUGGGCUUGCGUCUGAUUAGCUUGUUGGUGGGGUAAAGGCCUACCAAGGCAACGAUCAGUAGCUGGUCUGAGAGGAUGAUCAGCCACACUGGGACUGAGACACGGCCCAGACUCCUACGGGAGGCAGCAGUGAGGAAUUUUCCGCAAUGGGCGAAAGCCUGACGGAGCAAUGCCGCGUGGAGGAUGACAGCCUGUGGGUCGUAAACUCCUUUUCUCAGAGAAGAAGUUCUGACGGUAUCUGAGGAAUAAGCAUCGGCUAACUCUGUGCCAGCAGCCGCGGUAAGACAGAGGAUGCAAGCGUUAUCCGGAAUGAUUGGGCGUAAAGCGUCUGUAGGUGGUUUAUUAAGUCUACUGUUAAAGAUCAGGGCUUAACCCUGAGCAGGCAAUAGAAACUAAUAAGCUAGAGUACGGUAGGGGCAGAGGGAAUUCCCGGUGUAGCGGUGAAAUGCGUAGAGAUCGGGAAGAACACCAACGGUGAAAGCACUCUGCUGGGCCGAAACUGACACUGAGAGACGAAAGCUAGGGG
RNAcentral lists this ribosomal RNA (649 nucleotides) under uncultured cyanobacterium. Its description in RNAcentral is "bacterial SSU rRNA". It matches the Rfam family "Bacterial small subunit ribosomal RNA", at positions 90 to 766 of the family's 1533-position model. The record is from RNAcentral. Lineage: Bacteria; Bacillati; Cyanobacteriota.